Molecule: long non-coding RNA, 1021 nt
Filed under: Oryctolagus cuniculus (rabbit)
Lineage: Eukaryota; Metazoa; Chordata; Mammalia; Lagomorpha; Leporidae
Description: lncRNA (ENSOCUG00000039637.1)
Source: RNAcentral
CUGGAAGUGCUUUCAACUUUCCACAAGAUUUCCAAGAGCAAGUCAUAGAAUCCUGUUGGUGUGCCUCUCAGCACGGUCUGCACAGAGCACUCCGCUGCUGGUGCUCAGGAGCUGCCAAGAUCACAUCAGAACAUACACUGGUGGGAAGUGGAAGCCACCAUCAAGGCGACUAUUGUAACUGGAGGCGUUGGUAUGAAGACGACUAAAGGCUACACCAUGUCAAACCCUCAAGUAGAAUUAUUGCCUUUCUUGCCUCAGUUCCCAGCUGUAUUAUGUCACCAAAUCACAUCACAGUGUAAUCAAAGAUGAAUAAAAUAUUUUUUUCUUUACCUUAAAUGCUUUUUCUGUCAAUUACAAUCAAAGGACAUGAUUUCAGGUCUGUCAGUUUGCAAGGCUCUUUCCUACUGAUGACUAAAGCCGUAAUGUGCUAAAUAUAAAAUGAAUCAGAAAAGUCUUCAAAUGAUUUUGCUAUUAAGAAGAAGAAUGUUUUUUUCCUCCCACAGGGGACAGAAAAGUAAUUGGUCUUUAAAGAAUGAAAUCAAAGAUUUUUUUUAAAAAAAUGACCCCUUGGUUUGUUUCCCUUUUAUGCCUCUCUUUUUUUCUGCUUUAAUUCUAAAUCUCUAGUUGCAACACGGAUUUGCUCUUCUGAGAAAAUAUACAUCAUACUCUCAUCAAAACGAUGAUUCUUUGUAAAUAUUUUAUUAGCCCCUUGUUUUCAUAUGUCCAUAACUUUCUUGCCACAUUACUGCCGAUUAGGUACCCUGUAAUAUUAGCAGUCAUUCAGCUAUAACCCAACUUCUAGGCAGGUUUCUGGCUUGAUUACAUUAUUAACCAUAAUCAAAAAAACAUUUUCCCAGAAUGAAUUUAGCUUGGUAGUUGGGAUUGCUUCCUUUGAUCUUCUUAGCGUUAUUUUACGAUAGGUUGCUCCUCAUUUACACUACAAAUGCUGGCAAAAAUGAAAGUGGUAUCUCUGCUAGCAAUGCCUGAUAAAAUAAAAUAACUGGUUCAGCAGUCUCUGCCA